GAUGAACGCUAGCGGCAGGCUUAAUACAUGCAAGUCGAGGGGCAGCAGCUUUAUAGCAAUAUAGAGGCUGGCGACCGGCAAACGGGUGCGGAACACGUACACAACCUUCCUUGAAUAGGGGGAUAGCCCAUAGAAAUGUGGAUUAAUACCCCGUAAUAUAGCGGUGUGGCAUCACACUGUUAUUAUAGUUUCGGCGAUUCGAGAUGGGUGUGCGGCUGAUUAGGUAGUUGGCGGGGUAAAGGCCCACCAAGCCUUCGAUCAGUAGCUGAUGUGAGAGCAUGAUCAGCCACACGGGCACUGAGACACGGGCCCGACUCCUACGGGAGGCAGCAGUAAGGAAUAUUGGUCAAUGGACGCAAGUCUGAACCAGCCAUGCCGCGUGAAGGAUGAAGGUCCUCUGGAUUGUAAACUUCUUUUAUAGGGGGCGAAAAAAGGUCUUUCUAGAUCACUUGACAGUACCCUAUGAAUAAGCACCGGCUAACUCC
RNAcentral lists this ribosomal RNA (485 nucleotides) under uncultured bacterium. RNAcentral describes it as "bacterial SSU rRNA". It matches the Rfam family "Bacterial small subunit ribosomal RNA", at positions 28 to 504 of the family's 1533-position model. The record is from RNAcentral.